Molecule: long non-coding RNA, 308 nt
Organism: Balaenoptera musculus (blue whale)
Lineage: Eukaryota; Metazoa; Chordata; Mammalia; Artiodactyla; Balaenopteridae
Exons: 3
Source: RefSeq, a predicted model, not a curated record
GGCCUGAUAUGAGGGCGGGGCUGUGCCUCCCCCCCGCCCCAAGGGGCGUGGCCAGUUCGGGGCGGGGCUAGGGUUGGAGCAUUUGCGGAUAGAGGACGGUUGCCUGAGAGGAGCGGCGAAAGAUAGACGGGUGCGGCUAGAGUGUAACCGUGGAGGACCAGUUUCAGUUCUGCAUGGAGCAGCUGCCUCUGAGCCUGCAGGGGCAGGGAUGGAGGCUUGAGGCCAGGAGAGGAUGAGAGGAGAAGGCUGGGCUUAAAGGGAGAGGUCAAGGGGACACGGGUUCGAGCCCUGGUCCGGGAAGAUCCCAC